This 200-nucleotide unclassified non-coding RNA is filed under the name Agaricomycetes sp. Its description in RNAcentral is "partial internal transcribed spacer 2". The record is from RNAcentral. Lineage: Eukaryota; Fungi; Basidiomycota; Agaricomycetes.
UUAAGUUCAGCGGGUAGUCCUACCUGAUUUGAGAUCAGAAUAUUAAGUGUAUUUUCCGGAGAAAAUGGUUUAGAAGCAGAGUGUAGCUUUGCCUUGCAAUCUUCCAUGACUAAUGACAAUUAUCACGCCAGGGAGCAUUCAAAGACUCGCAACUCCAAGCUAAUGCAUUUCGGACGAGCUGAUUAUUAAAAACCAGCAGC